UCUGAAUUUUCACUUGCCUAUAAGUUAGCACAAAGGCAUGGGCUGCUGAGCUGAUACGAAACUUUUUUAUUUUUUUAUUUGGUUACAUGUCGGAUAAGAGAAAAAAAUCAAGACGUCCGGGGUCUCACUCGAGUGGACUGAGAUGUUGAUGCAUCUAUCGGGAAAACAAACAGAAACGCGGGAAAAGGUGAACGACGGUACGUUCUCUUAUUUUUUUUUAUAAUCGCUCGGUUUUUAUAUUACAUGUCUCUUUUAAUUCGCACGUACUCUUGGAGAUUGGAGUUGAACUUUUGUUUUGUUGCCCGGCUGCCAUGAAUAACCGAGAGAAAAACAAAAACACAAAGAAAUCUCGAAACCGCCGGUUGACGGGGUACGCACCUUGUCCCGAACGAAAGUCGUGCGUGUGCACACAUCACCAGUUCAUCACGAUGCCAAUUUGAUGUUUGUUUUUUUGUUCUGACGGUCGAUCGUUUUAAUCCACGGCCUGAUAAACUGAACAGACGUCCUUAAACACCUUCUACAUUUUAUCCUUUUUUCCUUGUUAUAUGUGACAUCAUUCUCCCACGACGACGACGGGUUUCACCAUGGCGACGGUGGCAAUUGUCCGCCAGCACGGCCUCGGUGACCCAACAAAUGAAGAGAAAAACUUGAUCAUCACAGCGCACAGUUUGUGUGCGGUGAUGGGACUCGGACCGCUUUUUUCUUUUGUGGCCGCGGCCAGCAAAGUUUCACAUCGAAACAACUGGCCGAGAGUUGUUGGUUGGUUAUAUGUCUCCCACAGAAAAACUGCUGGGGGUUCCUAUUAUUCUCCUGUAUAGAAGAAAAGAAAAGGAAUCCCGUGUUGUGGUUUUCAUCACUCAAUAGAUAUUCUUCUUUACAUGUAAGGAGCGCCCCUCGUCUAUCUGUUCCUUUUUUAUUAUUCAAUGUGGCAUGUGUAAUAGAGGGCCGGCCCUAUUAUACUUAUUCCUCCCACCCGUUUCAUUUCAAUUUGUUGAAUAAAAUAUAAUACAGCCCAACAAAUUCACUAUAGCCCCCCCUUUUUUUUUAUCGUAUGACGUUUUAUCAAAUCAGUCGAGGUGCACCAUUGAAAAUCCCAUCGGACACCGUACACCAUCUCCUUACAAUUUUUCAUUAUUUUAUUUUUUUCUUUAAACUGAACUUGAAUACAUCAACAACGGCGUC
Long non-coding RNA from Daphnia pulex (common water flea), 1182 nucleotides. RefSeq lists it as uncharacterized. The record is from RefSeq and is a predicted model, not a curated record. NCBI's taxonomy places the organism in Eukaryota, Metazoa, Arthropoda, Branchiopoda, Diplostraca, Daphniidae. The transcript has 2 exons.